UACGGGGGGGGCAAGCGUUGUUCGGAAUUACUGGGCGUAAAGGGCUCGUAGGCGGCCAACUAAGUCAGACGUGAAAUCCCCAGGCUCAACCUGGGAACUGCGUCUGAUACUGGAUGGCUUGAAUCCGGGAGAGGGAUGCAGAAUUCCAGGUGUAGCGGUGAAAUGCGUAGAUAUCUGGAGGAAUACCGGUGGCGAAGGCGGCAUCCUGGACCGGCAUUGACGCUGAAAGCCGAAAGCUAGGGGAGCAAACGGG
RNAcentral lists this ribosomal RNA (253 nucleotides) under uncultured bacterium. Its description in RNAcentral is "partial 16S ribosomal RNA". It matches the Rfam family "Bacterial small subunit ribosomal RNA", at positions 524 to 776 of the family's 1533-position model. The record is from RNAcentral.